Molecule: transfer RNA, 70 nt
Filed under: Scopelengys tristis (Pacific blackchin)
Lineage: Eukaryota; Metazoa; Chordata; Actinopteri; Myctophiformes; Neoscopelidae
Description: tRNA-Asp
Rfam family: tRNA
About the family: Transfer RNA (tRNA) molecules are approximately 80 nucleotides in length. Their secondary structure includes four short double-helical elements and three loops (D, anti-codon, and T loops). Further hydrogen bonds mediate the characteristic L-shaped molecular structure. tRNAs have two regions of fundamental functional importance: the anti-codon, which is responsible for specific mRNA codon recognition, and the 3' end, to which the tRNAs corresponding amino acid is attached (by aminoacyl-tRNA synthetases). tRNAs cope with the degeneracy of the genetic code in two manners: having more than one tRNA (with a specific anti-codon) for a particular amino acid; and 'wobble' base-pairing, i.e. permitting non-standard base-pairing at the 3rd anti-codon position.
Source: RNAcentral
AAGACACUAGUAAAGCCCAUUAUAUUGCCUUGUCAAGGCAAAGUCGCGGGUUAAAUCCCCGCGUGUCUUG